UCGGGAAUUUUGGGCAAUGGGCGAAAGCCUGACCCAGCAACGCCGCGUGAAGGAUGAAGUCUCUCGGGAUGUAAACUUCGUAAGAAUAGGAAGAAUAAAUGACGGUACUAUUUGUAAGGUCCGGCUAACUACGUGCCAGCAGCCGCGGUAAUACGUAGGGACCAAGCGUUGUUCGGAUUUACUGGGCGUAAAGGGCGCGUAGGCGGCGUGGUAAGUCACUUGUGAAAUCUCCGAGCUUAACUCGGAACGGUCAAGUGAUACUGCUGUGCUAGAGUACAGAAGGGGCAAUCGGAAUUCUUGGUGUAGCGGUGAAAUGCGUAGAUAUCAAGAGGAACACCUGAGGUGAAGACGGGUUGCUGGGCUGAUACUGACGCUGAGGCGCGAAAGCUAGGGUAGCAAACAGGAUUAGAUACCAGUAGUCCCUGAGCGGGCUGGCAAGGCGCAU
This 445-nucleotide ribosomal RNA is filed under the name uncultured bacterium. RNAcentral describes it as "bacterial SSU rRNA". It matches the Rfam family "Bacterial small subunit ribosomal RNA", at positions 355 to 825 of the family's 1533-position model. The record is from RNAcentral.